AAAGCAACAAACGAGAAAAGAAAAGAAAAGAAAAGAUCGCAGACCUCCUCUUUUUUUGAUUUUUCUCUUUCUUUCUCUCCCCUUUCUCCCUCUUUCCCUUCUUUUACCCACAAACACCUCAAAACAGGUAAUAGCAUGGAUCAAAACCUUGCGAUUAAGAUUAAAUGAAGUCGAGGAGCUGAUUUUCAUAGUCAACGAAAAAAUAGAAGAA
This 211-nucleotide non-coding RNA is filed under the name Paramoeba aestuarina. The record is from RNAcentral. Lineage: Eukaryota; Discosea; Flabellinia; Dactylopodida; Paramoebidae.